Pseudophryne corroboree (corroboree frog) is the source of this 330-nucleotide long non-coding RNA. RefSeq lists it as uncharacterized. Lineage: Eukaryota; Metazoa; Chordata; Amphibia; Anura; Myobatrachidae. The record is from RefSeq and is a predicted model, not a curated record. The transcript is spliced from 3 exons.
UGCCAGUGCUCAGCAUGUCCCCCUGAACUCUGCAGCAGCCGCUAGUCUGUGAGGCGGGUAGUGUGAGUUCCGCUCACAGUCAGCGGCUGCGGUGUCACCAGAGAGAGUGUACGGGGAGAAGUGCCAAGCAGUAGAUGAUACCCACAAGAUUGGACUAUCAUGACGUCACAUUGCAAAAUGAGAGGCGAAGCUCAAGGCAGCCUCGUGGAAAAAAUGCGGCUGCAGAUGCUGGAGGAUCGAAAAGACAAUCCCCGAGAAUGAAGUAGCAUUAAUCUACAGUCCCACGUUCUGCGCUUUAACAAACAGCACAUAUAUACUCUCCGACAAUGG